Molecule: long non-coding RNA, 5557 nt
Organism: Taeniopygia guttata (zebra finch)
Lineage: Eukaryota; Metazoa; Chordata; Aves; Passeriformes; Estrildidae
Source: Ensembl
UUUUUUUUUUUUUUAAGCCAAACCAAACCCCAUUCACUCAUAUUAGACCUAAAACAUUCACAAGAGCUCAUGCUAAGCCUUAACUUGCAAAAUAAAACUCAACACAUUUCUAAAUUUCUUUAUUAUCUUAUUCUUAAUUUCUUCCUUUAUUCUGUCUUAGGAAAAGACAACCCCCAGACAAUUACACUUAUUUUUUUCUCCAUAAUUACGGAAGAAAUCAUCAAACAAACCUAAUAGUGGCUUUUGCAGUUACCUUGCUGAUCCAGCCUUGCCUAAGCAGUGUGGGCAGGCUGUGGGGUCAGACAUGCAGCAUUAUGGCUUUUCCCUGCAUCCACAGGGAUGGGACAAGGGAUGCAGGUGCUGCAGGCAGCUGCAGCUCCAGUUGCACCUGUGGGAUUCACACAGCCCAGGGCUCUUGGGCUGCACAUCUUGUCAGUUUGUAAAAUACCAUUUUAAUUUCUGUCUCUCUCACCUGCUGGUGUUGGAAAGCUGCUGUAGGCACUUUGCAGAGAUUGGCACUGGAAGCACCUGACACUUGCUGUUGUAAACUUCAUCCAUCUCCUUGAAAUACUGUUGUGAUGGUGGUUGUCUCAAGGCUCUGUGCACAUGGAGUAAUUGCUGGUGUAAAGACUUUUUUAUCCUCUCGUUAUUGUUACUGAGCACUGCUUUCAUCCAGAAACAUGAAUUGGGGAAGGAUGCCACAGACUUUCACCACUGAAUCUGUCCCUAGAUGGUUUCUUUUCACCCAUGUGAAAUUUAUAAAUAGGGGUGGGGGAUGCAGACAAGCCUAUAAAGAAAGACCUCCAUAAAUCAAAUUCUGCAUUUUCUAAGUUGCUCAAGGAAUGAUUUACUGCAGAAAUGGUGAACAGAUGGAUUCCCACUGCCAUCCAUAGAUGAGUGUGGCAGACCAGUGUGGCUGCUGCUGUUUGUUCCCUUCCUUUCCCUCCUUUGGCUGCUGUUAUGUUGCUGCAUUGGGCAAUCAUGUUAUGUGAAAUGCAGUGUUGCACAUCAUCAUCACAGCAGUGUUGGUAUUUCCUAAAGGUCUUUGUCAUGAUGUUUGUCAGUGCCUGUUUUAAAAUGGCCCAGGCUCCUAGCUUGACCUUUAUAGUUUCUUUUUUUUUUUUUUUUUUUACAAGACACAGUUAUGUUUCAUGCAAGCCACAUAAUUCUUUGGGCUACUUGUAGUAGAUUUAGAAAGCAGAUGCUCCUUGAAUGCCCAACACAUGCAAUCCAUGGGCAAGAGCUAGUGAAGGGUGUUUAAAAGAGGCAGUGGUUCUUGUCACUGUGGGGUUUUCUUGUUCAUUAUCAACUUAGUCAGAAGAUAGGUCACCUUUUUCCUUGGUACCCUUUUAAGGCCAUCAAUAAAGCCAUAUUACGAGGAGGAAACCAAAGGAGAACAUAAUCCAUUUAUUUAGGCUUGUGCCAGCACAGCAAGAGGCUGGAGAGGCAGCAGGGGCCAGAGCCUGCCCUUGGCCUACAGCUGUCCUCUCCUGCUUCCUUUUGCCUUGGAAACAGCCUGACUAUCCUCUGCUGGGAUGCUGCUGGCACAGCAUCACCUGUGCUGGCAGCAAGGUCCCUGCCUGGGGUGGGAUGCAGCCUCUCCCUGGAAGAUGUGGGGAAAGCUGCAGUGGGAAAAGUGCAGUGGGAAAAGUGCAGUGCUGUGGGCAGUGCAGGCACCAGGACAUGCCCAGGUCUCUGCUUUGGGACAGGGACCCAUGGCUGUGCCUGCAAUUCUCUCUCCAGCUCCAAACCAGGACUAGUGGAAUAAUUUUGAAGCAGGACACUAAUGGAGUGUGUUACAAGAGCUGUGCACUCCCCUGUUUGUUACCUGUGCACCAGUUCAGUGAGGAGUCUCUGGGUGUCACACCAUGCUGAGAAUCCAUUGCUGGGGAAGCAAAGGGGACAGCACAUCCCUCAAGCUGGGCAGUGCUUCCUUUUCUGCCUGUUGUGGUUGAUCAGGAGGCUCUCAGGCUGGACUCAGGGCUUUGUCACGCUCAGCAGAAGCAGCAGGCUUGCAGGAAUGGGUCAGUAAAUCUCUUAGACCCUACAGGCACCAGGCAGAGAUCACCCCAGCCAUGCUGGCAUGUGCUGGGACCCUGCCCCAGACCCUGCAGCCCUGCUCUGCUGUGUGCCCACACCAAGCUGUGUGUGGGGAGGUGAUGGCAAAGCCCCCCAGCCCCCGUGGCAGCCGGCAGGUGCCUCCUGCAGGGCACAGCAGCCCUUUGUAGCCCCACACUGCCAUGGUCAGGGCCCCAGCCAUGCCCAGGGCUGCCAAGGCUGUGAGCACCAGCCCUGCAGAGCCCUGGCUGCAUGGCCAGGCAGGACACAAAGAGAGGCUUCCUAUAGAUCCUGCUCCAGGUGACAUCUGGCCUCAUUUAUGGACUUGGAUGGAUGGGGCACCCAGGUCUGUUCAGUCCCAGUAGGAGCCUUUGAUGAAAUCCCUGUACUGACCAAAGACUGACUCUGAAGGGCAGGAUCUCCACAGACAACCUCCUGCACAAGUUGGCGUCCUCCAAGCGUUGAGAGAGAAAAUAUUUAAUGGCUUAAAAAGGAAAAAGAGGCAAUGGAGCAGUUUAGAAAAUGCAAUUUCCUCAACAACUUUGUGAUUUGAAGAACUGGCGCUAUAAAAGGGGAAACCAAAUUUGUGGGAAGGAUGAAAUUAUUUUCCCCAAGCCCAAUAAUCACCCUGGCUUAAGCUAGGAGUUUUUGCUCCACAAACUGCCCCUGUUUUUGCUCCUGUUGUCACAAACUGUGAAACUAUGGUGCAUGCCUAUCAGGCUACACUGCAGUUGCAAAUUAACCAGUGUGUUCAGUAGUCCUCCUUUCACCAUCAAUGUAGUCUUCAGUGAUGCCUGGGGAAGGAAGAGGGUUUUCCUUCAUGUUUCACAGUGUUUCUCCUACUCUCAUAGACUCUUAAUCCUUCAUGGUUUUCUCAGUGCUGCUCAGCCCUGGGAACUCUACCUGGAAUAAGCAAAACAAGUUACAGUGGAGACAAAAGUGACAAAAAAUCAUUGAACUUUACAGCAGAUAACCCAGGGUAUGACUUCCAAAUUAUACCCGGUUACUCAGCAGUCAAAAACACAAGAGCAGCCAGUACAGAUGAAUAUUCACCUGAUUUUACAGUGUAAUUGCUUCUCACUUAAAAUUUGACCUUUUUUUUUCCUUUCCUCCCAGCAUAACCACGUGCUUCCUGCAUUUCCCUACUCUUCAGUAUCAGCAUGUGCUUUGAGUCCUGUAGAGUUGGAGAGGAAUUACUAACAGAACUGAAAAAUAACUCUGAUCCUCUUACCUUUGCAUGCACAAAAUUCUUAGCAAAAUACAAGAAAAAAAAAAAAGGCAUUUCUCUUGUGUUGUGCUUGCACAGUGUCAAUGGCAAAGCAAAGUCUAAGGGCAUAAAUAAGGUGAAAUGUUGCUCUGUGGUGAUGCAGAGACUGAAGGGACUGGGUUUUAAGCAGUGUCCCUCCACAUUGGCUUUUCUGAUAAAGGCAGAAGAAUUUGUAUCAUGCACCAAAAAGCUCAGCUUCCAGCUUUGUGUGCCCCUCUUCUUGUGGUACUUUCCACCUGUUCCCUGUGGGUACCUGGAUGAGACAAAGGAUACCUGUGCUCAGGUAGCUUCUGAUUCAGAUUGCUUCUGGGUUCACUUGAAAUCCCAGUCAGGAACUUUCCGUCUUUACUGUUUUGUAAUCAAAGAUGCAGAGGCUGCAAUUCAGCCAGGAUGUGUUUGCUGGGCUGAGAGCUCUUGGGUACAGCCCAUCCUUCCUUCCCUCCCACUGCAAACACAUCAGGGCAUCCUUCUUUUAAAUACCUACUUUUAAGCUCCCCUAUCAAAAUGUCAGAAUUAUUAGGGAAAAGUGUUUAUUGCCACACUUUCCUUGAUACAUGUGCUGUAUCAUAGAUGGCUUCUGCUGAGUGUGUGCUGGGUGCUUUUGGCAGAUGUUCAGUUUGCACUGGAGGCUGUUUGUGCCUGGCUGGGGGUGCAGGGGAGCAGAGUGGUCACUUGUGCAGGUGGGAUGAUGCUAGGUGACACAGGUUUGGCAGGAAAGGCAGCAGGCUGUGGGGGAUACCCUCAACACUGCUGGGGUACCUGGGGCAGAGCAGCUGAUUCCCACUGAUUUGGGAAGAGGAUUCUAGAAACCCUGAGGCAGGGAGCAUGUUGGGUGACACCUGUGUGGGCUGAGAGCAGAGUGAUACCACCUACAAGAGGGGCUCAUGCCUCCAUCCCUGUUUUUAGGGGAUACAUUGGAGCCUGCCUGCACAUGCCUGCUCCCACUUUGCCUUUGGGAGGGCACCCCAAGACACCAACAGGGAGCAGACUGGAAAAGGGUGAUGCAAAAGGCACCCUGGGCUUUGCUGGGCCUUGGUGGUGCUCCCUGCAAAUGUCUCUCCCUUUCUCAUCCCCUGCUGCAGUUUGGGCUUGGCUCCUGGGCAGGCAGCACUCUGCUCCCUGCCUGCUGUGGGGAGCACGAGGCUCACAUGGACCAAAAUGUGUCAAAAGCAUUUCCUCAAAUAGUCAGUUUUAAUUUUAAUAAGUCGUGUUUAGUAGCCUUAAGGACACUGGCUGUGUGAGAGGAAAGGAUUAUUAUGUCUGAAAACAAAGGGCUGCUGAGAGCUGGUGUGGGGUGAGAGGCAUCACAUCUUCCUUAAGAGAGAGGAGCCCUUGCCAUGUGGUUGGAAAGCGUGGUGGGAUUGACAGGGGAAGCACUUGGACUGAGAAAUCUUCUUUUAGAUUAAGCAACAAAAUUCUGCAUGCACAUACAGACUAGAUCUUCAUACCGCGGCAGGCUUUGACAGUGUACUGCAGCAUUAUUGCUAUUUAUAAUCCACAAUUACUAACACUAUAAUCCAGUAAAUUUAGUGGUAGCAAUUACAGCAACAUAAAUAGCAAUCCAGAUGACUAAAGGCAUUGCUGUCAAUGCAGGUGGCAGCUACAGCAUUAGAAAAAGAAGUUGGAGGGAUGAUACCAGGACUCGAUAUGUGAGCUUGGGUCUGCUAGUCUUUUAUAUACCAUUUUUAAUAUACUUCCUGAAAUGAAGCUUCAGAAAGGUACACUGCCUCUUUAAAAUUAGUCUAGGAACUACAGGUAGUUCACAUUAUUUUUAAAAUAAUAAAUCUCUAUAUAUAUCUAUAUUAAAAUAUAUAUGUAUACAUAAGUUGGCUAGCCUACCUUGUGGAAAGGCUGCAGCUAAACUAAGUCUGAGCUAAUAUUGUAUUACCAUGGUCCUCUGGUUUGUAGAUAGCCCUUCCUUAUUAGAUGAGGUUCUGUUCUUGCUCCACAGAAGGUGCCUGUGUAUAUAACUCCUUUGUAUUGCUUUCUGCAGAGUCCCUUAUAUAUUUCUUACUACUAAUGCUGUGUAGAAAAGGAAACCCAGAGAUUUUACUACUGAUAAUUAACCAUAUAAUGGCCAUUAGCAAAAUAAAGAUUUAGUUGUUUGGGAAACAGAUUAUUUAUAUUGUGUAUGGUUUAUUGCCUGAUAACUUGUUUGGUGACUGGAUAUUCUUUUCCUUCUCCUAGUCCUUUUCUGCUUUUUCCAGCUAUGGUGUUUACUCCUCACUUUGA